AUUAUGGAUUGAUUCAAAGCUUGUUUGAAUUAAAAAUCUUAAUUUUAUAGGUCAUGAAGAAUCAUCUAUAAAUAGAGAGGGUCUCUACCUAUGAAAUAGAGCAAUCAGAUUGUGUGAAAGAGAGAAAGUGAGAAAGAGGCGUGAGGCAUGAAAUCCAAGUGGGCGUCCCCUUGUUGCCGCCCCUCUUCCUCCUUGCCGUG
Molecule: long non-coding RNA, 200 nt
Filed under: Elaeis guineensis (African oil palm)
Lineage: Eukaryota; Viridiplantae; Streptophyta; Magnoliopsida; Arecales; Arecaceae
Description: long non-coding RNA (EGUI_LNC064221)
Source: RNAcentral